Molecule: long non-coding RNA, 3589 nt
Organism: Peromyscus californicus insignis
Lineage: Eukaryota; Metazoa; Chordata; Mammalia; Rodentia; Cricetidae
Exons: 2
Source: RefSeq, a predicted model, not a curated record
GCCAAAGGAAGCGUUGGCUCAGCGACGAUUUGCAUAAUCCCGUGCUAUUGGCUGGGAGGGCGGCGCGGCAGCCAAUGACCUGCAGCGGUGUUGACAGCGCGGCGUGGGUGAUGUAAUGGAAUCCUGGCUGGCCCCGCGCGCUCCCGGCGGACUGCGCGGUGACGUAGCGGCUUCCCCGGCCGCACCCGGCGAGCAUGGCCUGGCGCGGGCGGCUGGGGCAUGGCCCUACCCGGGCUCGGCGGUGCUGCUGCUACGGGGACCGCCGUGUUCCUUCCGGCCCGAUGUUCCGGUGGCGGGUCCCGGGGAGGAGGGCUCGGGCCAGAUCCGGUCUCGGGCCGAGGUGACAGAAAUCUGGAAUCUGACACCGGAGGAUGACCGAGCCCGGGCUCCCGGGGUAGUGCAAUUACGGACCUCUCACGUCGUCAGGACGCAGCUCUGCAACCUUUGCUUUUGUUGACAGGAGGGAGUGCGAUUUUGUAACUCUAAAGUUGCAGAGGGUUUUGAUGUGUUUUUAAUCAAGAGCCCUCCUGGCUUUGAUUUGUGGGAAAUCUUGCAUGAACUUCCUCCGUUUCCGGCCUGGUGACCUGGGCCACUUUCUCAUGUUGGCCCGGAUGCCCGGAUGAUCCUCAAUGGCAAAAAAAAAAAAAAAAAAAAAAAAAGGACAACAAAUGUGGAAAUACUUGAUGAAGCGCCUGGAAGGGAAGAGGCUCUUUGCUUCUACCCUAUUCCAGUGGCUUUUUGUUUGUUUGGGAUUUUUUUUUUUGUCCCCCAAGACAGGGUUUCUCUCUGUAGCCCUGGCUGUCCUGGAACUUACUCUGUAGACCAGUCUGGCCUUUUACUCACAGAGACCCUUCUGCCAGUGGUCUUCUUGAACUCUGGGAUAGCCCCGGGGAAACCCUGUCUAGGUGUCCCCAUUUUUUAUUUUUUGUUCUUGAAUGUAUGCUUAAAGCUAGGGAGAGGUGGGGGCACCCCAGCCAAGUAGUUCUUGAUCCUAAGAACCAGGAAGGGACCUAUGAAGGGGAUUCCCCUUUCCAGUCCCGGGCGAAUUCUGGGUGAGACCUGGGCAGGGGAGUCCCUUCUGGGCCCAGCAGGUUAGUUAACCCCACCAUAUCCUCUCACCCAGGCAGGGAGGAAGUGAGGUGAGGACUCUCCCCAGCUAUGGGUGCCUGAAUCCAGGCCACCAAAUGUGGUCAGUGGCCUUGGGCCUUGUGGCUCACCAUGGCUUAUUGUGACCUUCAUACCUUGACAUUUGAGACAGCCUAACCUCCAUGGGAUGUUCUUUCUCCAUUUCUAGGUCUGUCUUUUUCAUGGUGUACCCCACAUCCUCUUCCUCCAGGGUGGCCCUGGGAUUGACCCUCCACACACCCCUCCUUAGCACAUGUCAGCUGGAGGUCUCUUGCUCUUCUGGCAGCUCUGUACAGACAACCACCACGGCAGAGUCAGCUCUUUGCGGCGGGACUUCGUCUUCCUGUCUUAGGAACUCUCCAGAAUGUGGGUCAGUGCUGAACCACCAAAUAAACACCAGCUGGGCAAAGCUAGGCCAAGCACUUUGCAGGGACAGCUCCAAGACAAGAAUCCUAGCCCUGGCACUCCCUCAAGUCUCCCUGAGUGGAACGGCAGAUCUGCCAUUGCCUGCUCCCCGCUGCUGGGUGCUGUAUGUCUGCUAUCAAAGACACUGUCUUCAUGAUGGUGCCCGGAAACAGGUAUGCUGCCAUGCUUGUGCCUCCAAGGAGGAAACAGGAGCUCAGAGCAGGCCAGUCACUGCCUUGAGAUCCCACAUCUGGAGAAAGCGAGAAGCUGGUAGGCCAGAGAGGCUGACUUCUGGGGAAGAACAAGGAGAACUAAGUCUGGGUGCUCUCCAUGUCCGGGGGAUGCCCUCUGUGUCCAGGGGUGCCCUCUGUGUCCAGGGUGUGCCCUCGGUGUCCAGGGGUGCUCUCCAUGUCCAGGGGGUGCCCUCUGUGUCCAGGGGUGCCCUCUGUGCCCCCCAUUCUUCCACAGCUACUUAGAUCUCUCAGUGACCCGUGUCCACCACAUGCCACUUGGACACAGCCCCCCUCUACUGUCUCAGCCAGUCUCUUCAAGCCAUCCAAGAGUGUUAGCACUUCACAUUUUGCUGUCUGCUUUAUUUUAAUAGAUAAUUGAGGCAGGUUGGGGUAAGAGUAUUUAUAGAGAGACCUCUGUGGGCUGGAAGCCUCCAUGGAAAAACUGCUAACAGCAUUUUUUUCCAUUCCUGUCUAAAUAAAUGUAUUUCUCCUACACUGGCAAAUAUUUUAGAAUGUAUUUUCAAAAAGACUUGUGGAAAAAUAAAAAGAGGGAGCAGGGCAGUGCUCUCUUUCCAAAGUCCAUUGGAAAGGAGCUGCUAAGGCGAGGGGGGCAGCCUGAGGCUCCCUCACUCCUAGUCACUGGCGGGGAGAAGCCAGCCUGAGGCCCCCUCCCUCCUCACCACUGUCUUGUUCUUUUGCAAAUGGAUCUCCUGUUGACUAUGGGAAAAGCAGAGCUGACUCUGGAAUUUUGAGAUAAACCAGAGAGGUUCCAGGGUUGGCUGUGAGGCAGGCCAGGAAGGGGCGCUGGGGUUACCAGAGAGCAGGGCAGGUCCAGAGAAGGACUUCUGGGGGGUGGGAGAAGAAUGUGACCCCGCAGUGAUUCCUCUGGAUGCAGAAGGGAUUCUUGGCCACGUGGGUCCUGGCUAGCUGCUGGUGGAAGAGGCACAGAGCAGGAUCCUUGUGGAUGGAUUCUCACUCCCUGUCUCCUUCCCGUCAAGCAGGGUAGGACAGAGACACAAAACCACCCCUCAGCUAUCCUUGGAUUGAAAUGUUUCAUCUUGCAGAGUCGGAUCAUUAAGUAGGAAGGAAACCAACUCAAAAUAGCUUCAGGAAAUCCCUGAAACUGACCAGAUUCACUAGGCCCCCUCCCUUCCAGAGUAAAGAUUAAAGCUGAGAGUCCCUCUCAGAGGAAGUGAAGCUGAGCUCCCAAGAUGAGUUUCCCACAAGCGGAGGUGUCUGGAAGAAGCAGAGACCAGCCAAGGCCGCCUGGAAGAGGUUUAGACUAGCUGAGGCCCCUGGGAAGGACGCUCUCCAACCUGUGGAGCUAUUUGCAGGCUGUGCUGUGUGCUCCAGGUUCCCAGCUUUGGGAGCUGGCAUCCCUGCUAGGGUAGGCCUUGGUGACACAGCUGUCUCUGAAUUAUUUCUACUCCUGUACGUGAGCCCACAUCCACACUCCUGUAUGUGACCCCACAUCCACACUCCUGUACAUGACCCCACAUCCACACUCCUGUAAGUGACCCCACAUCCACACUCCUGUACAUGACCCCACAUCCACACUCCUGUAUGUGACCCCACAUCCACACUCCUGUAAGUGACCCCACAUCCACACUCCUGUAUGUGACCCCACAUCCACACUCCUGUAAGUGACCCCACAUCCACACUCCUGUAUGUGACCCCACAUCCACGCUCCUGUAAGUGACCCCACAUCCACGCUCCUGUGACCCCACAUCCACGCUCCUGUACGUGAGCCCACAUCCACACUCCUGUAAGUUACCCCACAUCCACACUCCUGUAUGUGACCCCAAUAAAACUCAUUGGUUUGCCAA